CGGAGGAUCCGAGCGUUAUCCGGAUUAUUGGUUAAGGAGCGUAGGUGGACUGGUAAGUCAGUUGUGAAGUUUGCGGCUCAACCGUAAUUGCAGUUGAUACUGUCAGUCUUGAGUACAGUAGAGGUGGCGGAAUUCGUGGUGUAGCGGUGAAAUGCUUAGAUAUCACGAAGAACUCCGAUUGCGAAGGCAGCUCACUGGACUGCAACUGACACUGAUGCUCGAAAGUGUGGUAUCAAACAGGAUU
This 244-nucleotide ribosomal RNA is filed under the name uncultured bacterium. RNAcentral describes it as "partial 16S ribosomal RNA". It matches the Rfam family "Bacterial small subunit ribosomal RNA", at positions 526 to 779 of the family's 1533-position model. The record is from RNAcentral.